Molecule: ribosomal RNA, 315 nt
Filed under: Escherichia coli
Lineage: Bacteria; Pseudomonadati; Pseudomonadota; Gammaproteobacteria; Enterobacterales; Enterobacteriaceae
Description: bacterial SSU rRNA
Rfam family: Bacterial small subunit ribosomal RNA
Source: RNAcentral
UUAAAUUGAAGAGUUUGAUCAUGGCUCAGAUUGAACGCUGGCGGCAGGCCUAACACAUGCAAGUCGAACGGUAACAGGAAACAGCUUGCUGUUUCGCUGACGAGUGGCGGACGGGUGAGUAAUGUCUGGGAAACUGCCUGAUGGAGGGGGAUAACUACUGGAAACGGUAGCUAAUACCGCAUAACGUCGCAAGACCAAAGAGGGGGACCUUCGGGCCUCUUGCCAUCGGAUGUGCCCAGAUGGGAUUAGCUAGUAGGUGGGGUAACGGCUCACCUAGGCGACGAUCCCUAGCUGGUCUGAGAGGAUGACCAGCCA